AAGUCAUGCCAUACAGGAAGCUAUCAGAAGUUGCCUAGUAAGGAUUUAAGAAAAAAGGAAUUAAGUGAUUAUUUGGAUCAUAAAUUUUAGGGCAUCAGGAUAUGAGUAUCUGAUGUAUUUAUAUUAAUAAUUACAGCUUACCAUGGGCCAGUCACUCAUUUAAAUGCCACAGCAAAUUUAUGAAGUAGGAUAUAUUGUUAUCCUCAUUUGCACAUGAGGAAACUGUGCACAAAGACGUUAAAUGGACUGCCAAAAAUCCUAAAGCUAGUAAGUGCCAGUACCGGUAUUCAAACCUAGGCAGUCUAGCUCUUAACCGCUAUACUAUAUCUUUCAUUGAAAUGGACAGCUGGUUAUUUUGACUAAAUAUUCUAAGAUAUGUUUGGAAGGGAAUUACCAUCACUGACCUCUUGAAUCUCCUUCUUCUGUACUUCCAAGCUGAUCAACUCUUUUUUUUCUGAAAGACUCAAAUUGUUGUGUUGUAUUACAUAAAUUGAUAUAUGGGGUAAUUGCUAAACAUUAUAGACCUGAGAGUCAUUCUAUCUCUUUUAGAAAUCUUUUUCUUUAUUCCAUAAUGGAUAGUGACAAAUUCAAAAGCUUUAGGAACUAGGCAGAUAACAUAAGUGAGGGAGAUGGCUUGGUAUAAGACAAUUUGAAAUGGCGAGAACUGUGGCAAACCACUACUCACUCGUCACUUGGCUCCAGCUGCUCUGUGCAAAUGUGGAUCCAAUGUUAUCAGAUAUUUUAAGGCCAGGAAUGGUGGCUUAUGCCUAUAAUCCCAGCACUUUGGGAGGCCAAGGUGGGAAGAUUGCUUGAGCCUAGGAGUUUGAGACCAGCCUGGGCAACACAGUGAGACCCUGUCUCUACCAAAAAAAAAAAAAAAAUUAGCCAUGUGUGGUGGCAUGUGCCUGUAGUUCCAGCUACUUGGGAGGGUGAAGUGGGAAGAUUGCUUGAGUUCAGGAGGUCAAGGCUGCAGUGAGCUAUGGUUGUGCCACAGCACUCUAGCCUGGGUGACAAAGCAAGACUCUGUCUCAAAAAAAAAAAAAGAUAUUUGAAACUUUACCUUAAGGGUAAGUUAUUACCUCUGCAAAUAGCUCAUUUCUUCAUCAUCUGUUUUACUCUAUUCAGAAUGUUUCAGAGAGAGACCACAGUCUUGACUUUAUUUUCAAGUUCUGUGAAUCCAUUAUGUUUAGAGCUUUUACCUCUUUACAGUCUCCAUGUAUAUAUUCAAUAAUGUAAAAUAUGUUAACAGUUCAUGGUUUGGACUGUGUCCUUUUUACAGACAAUCGACUAUAUAAAAGGCUGAAGGGUUAUUCCAGUAUAUCCCUAGUACUACAAAGUACAUUUUGGAGUCAGACAAAUCUGAGUUUGAAUUCUGUUUCUGAGACAUUAACUUGUAAUUUCAGCAAGAUGUUUUUUCUUCAUCUUUACAAUAGGGUUACUUAUACCACCUAAUUAGAUGAGGAUUAAAUAUAUAUAAAUACACUGAUCAUAGCAGCUGUCAUAUGCAAAUUCUGAAGCAAA
This is a long non-coding RNA of Nomascus leucogenys (northern white-cheeked gibbon), 1521 nucleotides long. RefSeq lists it as uncharacterized. The transcript is spliced from 2 exons. The record is from RefSeq and is a predicted model, not a curated record. NCBI's taxonomy places the organism in Eukaryota, Metazoa, Chordata, Mammalia, Primates, Hylobatidae.